Molecule: ribosomal RNA, 503 nt
Filed under: uncultured bacterium
Lineage: Bacteria
Description: partial 16S ribosomal RNA
Rfam family: Bacterial small subunit ribosomal RNA
Source: RNAcentral
AUUGAACGCUGGCGGCAGGCUUAACACAUGCAAGUCGAGCGGGGUGAUGGUGCUUGCACUAUCACUUAGCGGCGGACGGGUGAGUAAUGCUUAGGAAUCAGCCUAUUAGUGGGGGACAACAUCUCGAAAGGGAUGCUAAUACCGCAUACGUCCUACGGGAGAAAGCAGGGGAUCACUUGUGACCUUGCGCUAAUAGAUGAGCCUAAGUCGGAUUAGCUAGUUGGUGGGGUAAAGGCCUACCAAGGCGACGAUCUGUAGCGGGUCUGAGAGGAGGAUCCGCCACACUGGGACUGAGACACGGCCCAGACUCCUACGGGAGGCGGCAGUGGGGAAUAUUGGACAAUGGGGGGAACCCUGAUCCAGCCAUGCCGCGUGUGUGAAGAAGGCCUUAUGGUUGUAAAGCACUUUAAGCGAGGAGGAGGCUCUUUUGGUUAAUACCCAAGAUGAGUGGACGUUACUCGCAGAAUAAGCACCGGCUAACUCUGUGCCAGCCGCCGCAGUAA